RNAcentral lists this ribosomal RNA (636 nucleotides) under uncultured bacterium. RNAcentral's name for it is "bacterial SSU rRNA". It matches the Rfam family "Bacterial small subunit ribosomal RNA", at positions 202 to 842 of the family's 1533-position model. The record is from RNAcentral.
UAAAGAAUUUCGGUAUGGGAUGGGGAUGCGUUCCAUUAGUUAGUUGGCGGGGUAACGGCCCACCAAGACAACGAUGGAUAGGGGUUCUGAGAGGAAGGUCCCCCACAUUGGAACUGAGACACGGUCCAAACUCCUACGGGAGGCAGCAGUGAGGAAUAUUGGUCAAUGGACGAGAGUCUGAACCAGCCAAGUAGCGUGAAGGAUGACUGCCCUAUGGGUUGUAAACUUCUUUUAUAUGGGAAUAAAAUGUUCCACGUGUGGGAUUUUGUAUGUACCAUAUGAAUAAGGAUCGGCUAACUCCGUGCCAGCAGCCGCGGUAAUACGGAGGAUCCGAGCGUUAUCCGGAUUUAUUGGGUUUAAAGGGAGCGUAGGUGGAUUGCUAAGUCAGUUGUGAAAGUUUGCGGCUCAACCGUAAAAUUGCAGUUGAAACUGGCAGUCUUGAGUACAGUAGAGGUGGGCGGAAUUCGUGGUGUAGCGGUGAAAUGCUUAGAUAUCACGAAGAACUCCGAUUGCGAAGGCAGCUCACUGGACUGCAACUGACACUGAGGCUCGAAAGUGUGGGUAUCAAACAGGAUUAGAUACCCUGGUAGUCCACACAGUAAACGAUGAAUACUCGCUGUUUGCGAUAUACAGUAA